RNAcentral lists this ribosomal RNA (253 nucleotides) under uncultured bacterium. RNAcentral describes it as "partial 16S ribosomal RNA". It matches the Rfam family "Bacterial small subunit ribosomal RNA", at positions 524 to 776 of the family's 1533-position model. The record is from RNAcentral.
UACGGGGGGGGCAAGCGUUGUUCGGAAUUACUGGGCGUAAAGGGUUCGUAGGUGGCCUACUAAGUCAGACGUGAAAUCCCUCAGCUUAACUGGGGAACUGCGUCUGAUACUGGGGGGCUUGAGGACAGGAGAGGAACGCGGAAUUCCAGGUGUAGCGGUGAAAUGCGUAGAUAUCGAGAGGAACACCUGCGGCGAAGGCGGGUUGCUGGGCUGACACUGACGCUGAGGCGCGAAAGCUAGGGGAGCGAACGGG